RNAcentral lists this ribosomal RNA (447 nucleotides) under uncultured bacterium. RNAcentral describes it as "bacterial SSU rRNA". It matches the Rfam family "Bacterial small subunit ribosomal RNA", at positions 29 to 518 of the family's 1533-position model. The record is from RNAcentral.
AACGAACGCUGGCGGCAUGCCUAACAUAUGCAAGUCGAACGAGACCUUCGGGUCUAGUGGCGCACGGGUGCGUAACGCGUGGGAAUCUACCCUUGGGUUCGGAAUAACUCAGAGAAAUUUGAGCUAAUACCGGAUGAUGUCGCAAGACCAAAGAUUUAUCGCCCAAGGAUGAGCCCGCGUAGGAUUAGCUUGUUGGUGAGGUAAAAGCUCACCAAGGCGACGAUCCUUAGCUGGUCUGAGAGGAUGAUCAGCCACACUGGGACCGAGACACGGCCCAGACUCCUACGGGAGGCAGCAGUGGGGGAAUAUUGGGACAAUGGGCGAAAGCCUGAUCCAGCAAUGCCGCGUGAGUGAUGAAGGCCUUAGGGUUGUAAAGCUCUUUUACCCGGGAUGAUAAUGACAGUACCGGGGAGAAUAAGCCCCGGCUAACUCCGUGCCAGCAGCCGC